GUGGAAGGGGGCUUGCUCCCGAUAGCGGUGGGUCAGUCAACGAAUCCGUUGACUGACACCGUGCUAUCGGGAGCAAGCCCCCUCCCAC
Molecule: unclassified non-coding RNA, 88 nt
Filed under: Pseudomonas extremaustralis
Lineage: Bacteria; Pseudomonadati; Pseudomonadota; Gammaproteobacteria; Pseudomonadales; Pseudomonadaceae
Source: RNAcentral